GACGAACCGUGCGAACGUUAUUCGGAAUCACUGGGCUUAAAGCGCGUGUAGGCGGGUCGGUACGUCGGUCGCUGAAAUCCCCCGGCUCAACCGGGGAACGGGCGCCGAAACGGCUGGCCUGGAGGGGGGUAGGGGAAUCGGGAACUUCCGGUGGAGCGGUGAAAUGCGUUGAGAUCGGAAGGAACGCCCGUGGCGAAAGCGCGAUUCUGGACCCUUUCUGACGCUGAGACGCGAAAGCCAGGGGAGCGAACGGG
Molecule: ribosomal RNA, 254 nt
Filed under: uncultured Singulisphaera sp.
Lineage: Bacteria; Pseudomonadati; Planctomycetota; Planctomycetia; Isosphaerales; Isosphaeraceae
Description: partial 16S ribosomal RNA
Rfam family: Bacterial small subunit ribosomal RNA
Source: RNAcentral